RNAcentral lists this ribosomal RNA (497 nucleotides) under uncultured bacterium. Its description in RNAcentral is "partial 16S ribosomal RNA". It matches the Rfam family "Bacterial small subunit ribosomal RNA", at positions 28 to 507 of the family's 1533-position model. The record is from RNAcentral.
GAUGAACGCUGGCGGCGUGCCUAAUACAUGCAAGUCGAGCGAACAGACGAGGAGCUUGCUCCUCUGACGUUAGCGGCGGACGGGUGAGUAACACGUGGAUAACCUACCUAUAAGACUGGGAUAACUUCGGGAAACCGGAGCUAAUACCGGAUAAUAUAUUGAACCGCAUGGUUCAAUAGUUAAAGACGGUUUUGCUGUCACUUAUAGAUGGAUCCGCGCCGCAUUAGCUAGUUGGUAAGGUAACGGCUUACCAAGGCGACGAUGCGUAGCCGACCUGAGAGGGUGAUCGGCCACACUGGAACUGAGACACGGUCCAGACUCCUACGGGAGGCAGCAGUAGGGAAUCUUCCGCAAUGGGCGAAAGCCUGACGGAGCAACGCCGCGUGAGUGAUGAAGGUCUUCGGAUCGUAAAACUCUGUUAUUAGGGAAGAACAAAUGUGUAAGUAACUAUGCACGUCUUGACGGUACCUAAUCAGAAAGCAACGGCUAACUACGUG